GAUGAACGCUGGCGGCGUGCCUAAUACAUGCAAGUCGAGCGAACGGACGAGAAGCUUGCUUCUCUGAUGUUAGCGGCGGACGGGUGAGUAACACGUGGAUAACCUACCUAUAAGACUGGGAUAACUUCGGGAAACCGGAGCUAAUACCGGAUGAUAUUUUGAACCGCAUGGUUCAAAAGUGAAAGACGGUCUUGCUGUCACUUAUAGAUGGAUCCGCGCUGCAUUAGCUAGUUGGUAAGGUAACGGCUUACCAAGGCAACGAUGCAUAGCCGACCUGAGAGGGUGAUAGGCCACCCUGGAACUGAGACACGGUCCAGACUCCUACGGGAGGCAGCAGUAGGGAAUCUUCCGCAAUGGGCGAAAGCCUGACGGAGCAACGCCGCGUGAGUGAUGACGGUCUUCGGAUCGUAAAACUCUGUUAUUAGGGAAGAACAUAUGUGUAAGUAACUGUGCACAUCUUGACGGUACCUAAUCAGAAAGCCACGGCUAACUACGUG
RNAcentral lists this ribosomal RNA (497 nucleotides) under uncultured bacterium. RNAcentral's name for it is "partial 16S ribosomal RNA". It matches the Rfam family "Bacterial small subunit ribosomal RNA", at positions 28 to 507 of the family's 1533-position model. The record is from RNAcentral.